Molecule: ribosomal RNA, 301 nt
Filed under: uncultured bacterium
Lineage: Bacteria
Description: partial 16S ribosomal RNA
Rfam family: Bacterial small subunit ribosomal RNA
Source: RNAcentral
CAGCCGCCGCGGUAAUACGAAGGGUGCAAGCGUUAAUCGGAAUUACUGGGCGUAAAGCGUGCGUAGGCGGUGAGUUAAGUCUGCUGUGAAAUCCCCGGGCUCAACCUGGGAAUGGCAGUGGAUACUGGCUCGCUAGAGUGUGUCAGAGGAUGGUGGAAUUCCCGGUGUAGCAGUGAAAUGCGUAGAGAUCGGGAGGAACAUCAGUGGCGAAGGCGGCCAUCUGGGACAACACUGACGCUGAGGCACGAAAGCGUGGGGAGCAAACAGGAUUAGAUACCCGCGUAGUCCCUGUCUCUUAUAC